Molecule: ribosomal RNA, 492 nt
Filed under: uncultured bacterium
Lineage: Bacteria
Description: partial 16S ribosomal RNA
Rfam family: Bacterial small subunit ribosomal RNA
Source: RNAcentral
AGUGAACGCUGGCGGUAGGCCUAACACAUGCAAGUCGAACGGCAGCACAGUAAGAGCUUGCUCUUACGGGUGGCGAGUGGCGGACGGGUGAGGAAUACAUCGGAAUCUACUUUUUCGUGGGGGAUAACGUAGGGAAACUUACGCUAAUACCGCAUACGACCUACGGGUGAAAGCAGGGGAUCUUCGGACCUUGCGCGAUUGAAUGCGCCGAUGUCCGAUUAGCUAGUUGGCGGGGUAAAGGCCCACCAAGGCGACGAUCCGUAGCUGGUCUGAGAGGAUGAUCAGCCACACUGGAACGGAGACACGGUCCAGACUCCUACGGGAGGCAGCAGUGGGGAAUAUUGGACAAUGGGCGCGAGCCUGAUCCAGCCAUACCGCGUGGGUGAAGAAGGCCUUCGGGUUGUAAAGCCCUUUUGUUGGGAAAGAAAAGCAGCAGGUUAAUACCCCGCGGUUCUGACGGUACCCAAAGAAUAAGCACCGGCUAACUUCGUG